UUUGCGUCGAAGGUAUACCGGUAAGGAGUGCUGGAGCGAAUAGAAGUGAGCAUGCAGGCAUGAGUAGCGAUAAUUAAUGUGAGAAUCAUUAACGCCGUAAACCCAAGGUUUCCUACGCGAUGCUCGUCAUCGUAGGGUUAGUCGGGUCCUAAGUCGAGUCCGAAAGGGGUAGACGAUGGCAAAUUGGUUAAUAUUCCAAUACCAACAUUAGUGUGCGAUGGAAGGACGCUUAGGGCUAAGGGGGCUAGCGGAUGGAAGUGCUAGUCUAAGGUCGUAGGAGGUUAUACAGGCAAAUCCGUAUAACAAUACUCCGAGAACUGAAAGGCUUUUUGAAGUCUUCGGAUGGAUAGAAGAACCCCUGAUGCCGUCGAGCCAAGAAAAGUUUCUAAGUUUAGCUAAUGUUGCCCGUACCGUAAACCGACACAGGUGGGUGGGAUGAGUAUUCUAAGGCGCGUGGAAGAACUCUCUUUAAGGAACUCUGCAAAAUAGCACCGUAUCUUCGGUAUAAGGUGUGGUUAGCUUUGUAUUAGGAUUUACUCCGAAAGCAAGGAAACUUACAACAAAGAGUCCCUCCCGACUGUUUACCAAAAACACAGCACUCUGCUAACUCGUAAGAGGAUGUAUAGGGUGUGACGCCUGCCCGGUGCUCGAAGGUUAAUUGAUGGGGUUAGCAUUAGCGAAGCUCUUGAUCGAAGCCCGAGUAAACGGCGGCCGUAACUAUAACGGUCCUAAGGUAGCGAAAUUCCUUGUCGGUUAAAUACCGACCUGCAUGAAUGGCGUAACGAGAUGGGAGCUGUCUCAAAGAGGGAUCCAGUGAAAUUGUAGUGGAGGUGAAAAUUCCUCCUACCCGCGGCAAGACGGAAAGACCCCGUGGACCUUUACUACAGCUUGACACUGCUACUUGGAUAAGAAUGUGCAGGAUAGGUGGGAGGCUUUGAGUAUAUGACGCCAGUUGUAUAUGAGCCAUUGUUGAGAUACCACUCUUUCUUAUUUGGGUAGCUAACCAGCUUGAGUUAUCCUCAAGUGGGACAAUGUCUGGUGGGUAGUUUGACUGGGGCGGUCGCCUCCCAAAUAAUAACGGAGGCUUACAAAGGUUGGCUCAGAACGGUUGGAAAUCGUUCGUAGAGUAUAAAGGUAUAAGCCAGCUUAACUGCAAGACAUACAAGUCAAGCAGAGACGAAAGUCGGUCUUAGUGAUCCGGUGGUUCUGUGUGGAAGGGCCAUCGCUCAAAGGAUAAAAGGUACCCCGGGGAUAACAGGCUGAUCUCCCCCAAGAGCUCACAUCGACGGGGAGGUUUGGCACCUCGAUGUCGGCUCAUCGCAUCCUGGGGCUGGAGCAGGUCCCAAGGGUAUGGCUGUUCGCCAUUUAAAGCGGUACGCGAGCUGGGUUCAGAACGUCGUGAGACAGUUCGGUCCCUAUCUGCCGUGGGCGUAAGAAGAUUGAAGAGAUUUGACCCUAGUACGAGAGGACCGGGUU
RNAcentral lists this ribosomal RNA (1476 nucleotides) under Campylobacter jejuni. RNAcentral's name for it is "partial 23S ribosomal RNA". It matches the Rfam family "Bacterial large subunit ribosomal RNA", at positions 1244 to 2698 of the family's 2925-position model. The record is from RNAcentral. Lineage: Bacteria; Pseudomonadati; Campylobacterota; Epsilonproteobacteria; Campylobacterales; Campylobacteraceae.